UUUACACAGAAGUAAAAAUACGUGAAACGAAAUCCAAUCUUCACGAAUUUUUACAUGCAUGCUGCUCAGGCUACAAAAUCCGAGGUUGCAUGUUGAAGGCUUUUAUUCAAACGCCCAUCUUUGUUUCCCGGUCGCCAAUGGCAUGGCACGAGUGCCCCCUGGUGCCCGCAAUGCGGGGCCGCCGACGCUGCAUUGAGACUGCAUCUACGGACUUUUUUUUUUUUUUACUGAAACUUGAAAUACACUGUUGAGAUGUUUAUGUUGAAAUCACGGGGUGCUUUCUCGUGGUUUCUCAGCGUUUCCUCAUGUGUACACGGAGCACAUCUUUGCCAUGCACAGCUGUGAGGGGAGCCUGAAGGGCUGCCUAGCAUGGUGAGAAGACAUAAAAUGCGGACAAACUCCUCACAGCCUGCUGAGAUUAAAGAGAAAUAAAUAGAUGAACUGAAGCAUGAAGGAUUUGGGCUAGACAAAGAACUGUUUCCGGUCGUUGAGCUGGAGGGACACGUUGCCAAGAAAGUUUGUGAAAUUCUCUUCUCUAAGGACUUGAAAAGGAGAAACGUUUUCCCAGUGGUCUGGAGUUUUAUUUAGAAGCCACGCUCGAUGGAAGGAUUAGGCUCUUUGUAAACCAGUUAAUUCUUUAAAUACACUGGUUGGCCCGCGGCAAACACAGGGUUAACGGUAUUGCCUCGCUGUUCACUAUUGGCAAAGGUUUCAAAGGUGGUGUGCAUCUGUGGCCCACAACAGUUUAUCUGAGGUCUAUAAUUUCUUUUCAUUGGGAAUAAGUAGCUGGAGGCCAGAAGAGGUGAUUACUUCUCACAAUAUGUGCACUGAGUUGUGCGGGCCAGUGGUUGUUGAGUGUGCUUUCCCCCACAUUGUUGCCGGUGUUGUUUUUCAAUAAAAUUUAUAUUCAUUUUUAUCCAACAAUGUAAUUAUUGAUCCAUUCUUAUCACUGCUCUCAUGAAGGGGGAGGAAUAAAAACACAAGAAAAAGCACUUUCAUGUUCAAAGGGAGCCCUCAGAAAAAAAAUCAAUGU
Molecule: long non-coding RNA, 1033 nt
Filed under: Heterocephalus glaber (naked mole-rat)
Lineage: Eukaryota; Metazoa; Chordata; Mammalia; Rodentia; Bathyergidae
Description: lncRNA (ENSHGLG00000041670.1)
Source: RNAcentral